Non-coding RNA from Camellia sinensis, 1109 nucleotides. The record is from RefSeq and is a predicted model, not a curated record. NCBI's taxonomy places the organism in Eukaryota, Viridiplantae, Streptophyta, Magnoliopsida, Ericales, Theaceae.
UUUUCUUCCUUUUCUCUCUACUUGGGUGGUGCCCCCCUUUUCACUAUGUUAAUAAAAUUCACUUCAAAAAAAUUCGGGUCAAGUUUCAUAGAAUUUAUAUAAUCCUUUUGUGGAAACUCUUCACCACUUUACUAAUUUUUGGGCCAACAGUGGCUGCCCCAAUCCUACUUUAUAACUGAUUACGUUGUCUCGUAAGGGUGCACUGUGGCAACAAAAUCGCGAAGAAGCAUGAAUAACUCAAAAAGAGAGCGGCACCUAGUCGUUGAGAGUUUCUUCUGUCUUCAUAGAGGAAAUAUGAUCUUUGACCAUCCGGCUUCGCAUGACCUUGAUAGAAACACAAGUCCCUAUUGCUGUAAGGCCUCCAACUCCUCCCUCAGUACACUGUUGUGGUUCCCCACAGGAACGGGGUAGCGCUGACUUGCAUAGGUCCUUGAUUGACCUCCUAAUGAGAAUCUCAUCCCUAAGCUACUACUUAUUCUUUAUACCCUGAAUCUGUACCUACACCAUCUUGUUCAGUUAUUAUUAGGCUAUUUCUUGGGUUUUGAUGAUGGAGCGCCAUUCCGUGUAAUGAUGUUAUGACAUAUGAUUCUUGUGGUUUGCUUGAAUGUUAGUGUGUUCCAUCUUUCAUUUGCUUACGUCUACUUAUAAAAUUUCCACUAUACUAUGUACAUCUAGUACUCUGAAUUUUCUUAGUCUUCUAUAAUAAAAUAAGGUUCACAUGGUUUUCUUGGAAACAUAUUACUACAUGAACAUUCAUUGAUUACUUACCUGGUUACUUCAAUAUUCUCACUGAAUAAUGCAUAUGUAGCAUUUCUUUGUAGUCUUAUUCUCUGUAAUACAAAGUCCUCUAAUGUGUGAAUUAACCAGCUCCUUACUGGAUGAUCACAUGAAAGAAAAUACACUUCUCCCCUUGUUAUGUGCUGGCUUGAUUAUAUAUUUGACAAGUUAUUUCUUUGUCUUUUAUCUGGAGUAGCUUGGGCAGCUUAGAUUAACACCUCGAGUUGUAGUUGGUCACAGUUUUGGAGGAAAAGUUGCCUUGAGCAUGUUGGAUCAAACUCCAAAGCCAUUGGCACGACCUGUCAGAGUUUGGGUUCUAGAUGCUACUCCUG